CAUUUUAUACAAUGGAGAGUUUGAUCCUGGCUCAGGAUGAACGCUAGCGGCAGGCCUAACACAUGCAAGUCGAGGGGC
RNAcentral lists this ribosomal RNA (78 nucleotides) under Alistipes onderdonkii. RNAcentral's name for it is "partial 16S ribosomal RNA". The stretch from base 9 to 78 matches the Rfam family "Bacterial small subunit ribosomal RNA", at positions 1 to 70 of the family's 1533-position model. The record is from RNAcentral. Lineage: Bacteria; Pseudomonadati; Bacteroidota; Bacteroidia; Bacteroidales; Rikenellaceae.